UAAGGAGACUGCCGGUGACAAACCGGAGGAAGGUGGGGAUGACGUCAAGUCAUCAUGGCCCUUACGGCCUGGGCUACACACGUGCUACAAUGGUCGGUACAAAGGGUUGCCAAGCCGCGAGGUGGAGCUAAUCCCAUAAACCGAUCGUAGUCCGGAUCGCAGUCUGCAACUCGACUGCGUGAAGUCGGAAUCGCUAGUAAUCGUGAAUCAGAAUGUCACGGUGAAUACGUUCCCGGGCCUU
Molecule: ribosomal RNA, 241 nt
Filed under: uncultured Pseudomonas sp.
Lineage: Bacteria; Pseudomonadati; Pseudomonadota; Gammaproteobacteria; Pseudomonadales; Pseudomonadaceae
Description: partial 16S ribosomal RNA
Rfam family: Bacterial small subunit ribosomal RNA
Source: RNAcentral